UCAGUGUAUACCUCUUACUUAUAGAAACUAGUAACUGUCCUUUAUAGACAGGUGUCCGUUCUAUAGAGGUGGCCGCUAACGGCGGGUUCGACUCUGUACACGUUUGUCGUUAUUCUGCUCUUGCAUCGUGCUUGUAUUUUAUUGCCGUUUCUCCCAGUUCGCCAAAGUUCAACCCCCGAUGGCCUAGAUGCCGUGACGUAGGCGCGAUGACGUCACUAUUAUGACGUAGACGCGAUGACGUAAUGUGCCAUGACGCGGACGCGAUGACGUGUGCUCCGCGUUCUUUGAUGUAGUUCUAUUGGUCGACGCCACGCCCCACUCUCUUUGUUUCUCUUUGUCGGGCAUUGCUUAUUAUAAAUGCCCUCGUUUUUUGUGUUUUGAGUUGCGUGUUGCUAUGUGCGGUGAGAGAGAGAGAUAAAGAUGGAGAGGCAGGCGGGAAGAUGAUGAUGAUGAUGAUGAUGCUGUUAUGUAUAAAGUCGAUGUAAAAAAUUUCACCGGCACAUGUAUUAUGUCGCGUUUUUUCCACGCAUCUCGUUUCUGCGUUUUACUAACUUCUCACUUUGUGAAAAAAAAUAUGUCAGUAUUUUA
Priapulus caudatus is the source of this 588-nucleotide long non-coding RNA. RefSeq lists it as uncharacterized. NCBI's taxonomy places the organism in Eukaryota, Metazoa, Priapulida, Priapulimorpha, Priapulimorphida, Priapulidae. The transcript is spliced from 2 exons. The record is from RefSeq and is a predicted model, not a curated record.